GAGGAACAUGAACCUUCAUUAACCAACAACUGUGAUCAACAACAAAACAGAUUUUCUUUUUCUUUUUUCUUUUUGGUUUUUUCACCAACCAACAACUUUUCAUGUAUCCUAAGGGGUGUUGGUGUAAUAGCAUUAGAGUAUUAGUACUUUAGUAGUACUCAUAAGAAUCAUAUUUUACUAUGAUUCCAUCCUUAAUUUACUUUCUUGUUGUUGAAGCAGUCUGAGAAGAAUCAACAACUGUUUCAGCUCCUCGUUAUUAAUAAAGUUGUAAUUUUGCUUGUUUAAUUAUCAAUAACAUAUAUUAUUUACUAUUUAAAGAAAAUAGUAGUAGUAGUAGUGUAUAUUUGGUAUAAUUGUGGAUAUUCUAGAAUCACCAUGACCCAAAGUGUGAUUUCUGCAAAAUUAUGGGGUCACCGUGAUUCUGGAUCAACCGUGAUCCCAAACAUAGACAUAAUACAUUUAGUUUAAUAUUUUUUCCAUUCAUUGAGAUUUAAACUUCAAUCUUUUUACUACUUCAAUUCUAUUAACCGAAAUCAGUUGAACUACUUAACUACUCGUUGAUCAUUUACUUGAAGAUUAACAUAUAGAAGUUAUUUUCUACCAAAAAAAAAAA
Molecule: long non-coding RNA, 613 nt
Filed under: Trifolium pratense (red clover)
Lineage: Eukaryota; Viridiplantae; Streptophyta; Magnoliopsida; Fabales; Fabaceae
Description: long non-coding RNA (TPRA_LNC009552)
Source: RNAcentral